This 390-nucleotide unclassified non-coding RNA is filed under the name soil metagenome. RNAcentral's name for it is "partial contains 5.8S ribosomal RNA, internal transcribed spacer 2, and large subunit ribosomal RNA". The stretch from base 1 to 122 matches the Rfam family "5.8S ribosomal RNA", at positions 35 to 154 of the family's 154-position model. The record is from RNAcentral.
GAUGAAGAACGUAGUGAAAUGCGAUACUUGGUGUGAAUUGCAGAAUCCCGUGAACCAUCGAGUCUUUGAACGCAAGUUGCGCCCGAAGCCACUAGGCCGAGGGCACGCCUGCCUGGGCGUCACACGUCGUUCCCCCCCCAUCUACUCCUUCGGGAUUGCAGGGGGCGGAUGAUGGCCUCCCGUGCGCCUAGCCGCGCGGUUGGCAUAAAUACCAAGUCCUCGGCGACGCACGCCACGACAAUCGGUGGUUGCGAAACCUCGGUUGCCCGUCGUGUGCGUUCGUCGCGCAUCGAGGGCUCGAAAAAAUGCUCGGCUCCGGCUGGGCUUUCAACGCGACCCCAGGUCAGGCGGGGUUACCCGCUGAAUUUAAGCAUAUCAAUAAGCGGAGGA